GUUUGUGUGCUGCAUAAAUGAUGAGCGACAUGGGAGUUGUUGAGAUGCCCAUAAUGAAGGUAAAUCUCUUUGGCUGUGUCCGAAUGCACAUAAUACGUCCUAAAUAGUAGCCUGUUUGAGUAUGCGAUGAAAUUAAGUUUUAUAAUAUAUGAAUUUUCCAAAAUCGAAUGUUUUAAAUGCCAGGAUGUUAUACUCAUUUUGGCUUUUCAUUUAGUAGGAUUCGCUGCAUACUUUUAGGGAAUUUCACAGCCACAAUGCAUUGGAAAAAUGGGGCUGCAAGUUUUAAUAGCUAGAUCUCUUCAAGUAAACAACAAAACAACUUGGAAGAUUGCGAAUACCGAAGCUUCUGCGGUGGUGUUCAAAUGAUCUAUGUGAAGGAGGAGGAGGGGCAGCUAUCACCUGCAUGGGUGAAAAAGAAGUGGGAGGACCUUAAGCAAAAAUACUUACACUUCUUGCUGUGCUUGGCUAAUAAAGUUCCCCUUUUCUCUGAAGCAACAACACUUUCCCAUCUAUUUCCUAUGCUUCACUGGCACAUUAAUGUGUUGAAAGCUCCCCCCACCGGAGUCAGAACAGAGGUAGGGGAGGCCACAGCAACAUUCUGGAAGUGGUAUGCGGGGAUGGGUGUGUCGCUGCAGGGGCUGCCACUCUAUCACCCCACCGGUCAUCAUCUCAUCAUAUUCCCAAGGUGUAAUUUAUAAAUGUUAUUCUGUUUUUGGUGAAGUCCUUUUUUUUUAACUCAAAGUGGAUUUCUGUUUUCUCAUUGAAAAGUGUUUGUAAUUAAAACAAAAAUUAUAUCAGUACAUGUACAGUUGGUGUGUUUUACUUCCAACAUAAAAAAAUGCACUUGCACAUCAGAGCUAUCUUGUGUAAGGUGCAUGGUAACAAUUAAGUUGAAAGAAAAAAGUAACCCGCACACUGCUCUUGCAUGUAUCACUUUUUUAAUGAAGAUUACGCUCUACUAAACUAAGUAAAGCAAUAAUAAUAACAAGAUUACAUUUCUGUAGUGCUUUUCAUAACUAUCGCAAAGCAAAAAACGAAC
RNAcentral lists this long non-coding RNA (1039 nucleotides) under Salmo salar (Atlantic salmon). Its description in RNAcentral is "lncRNA (ENSSSAG00000114055.1)". The record is from RNAcentral. Lineage: Eukaryota; Metazoa; Chordata; Actinopteri; Salmoniformes; Salmonidae.